GCCGCUGUAGCUCAGGGGUAGAGCAACGGUUUCGUAAACCGUAGGUCGCCCGUUCAAACCGGGCCAGCGGCUCGA
RNAcentral lists this transfer RNA (75 nucleotides) under Deltaproteobacteria bacterium. Its description in RNAcentral is "tRNA-Thr". It matches the Rfam family "tRNA". Rfam says of the family: Transfer RNA (tRNA) molecules are approximately 80 nucleotides in length. The record is from RNAcentral. Lineage: Bacteria; Pseudomonadati; Myxococcota; Myxococcia.